Long non-coding RNA from Platichthys flesus (European flounder), 709 nucleotides. RefSeq lists it as uncharacterized. Lineage: Eukaryota; Metazoa; Chordata; Actinopteri; Pleuronectiformes; Pleuronectidae. The record is from RefSeq and is a predicted model, not a curated record. The transcript has 2 exons.
UCUGAUAAUAAAUGAAGCAAAGUAUUCAUGCUAAACUGGACCAGGAACUGGACCAAAAUGCAAAAUUCAUUGCGACAUAGUGGGACUGUAUAAUCUGAAGGCAAGUGGAAUGAAGAUCAGAGUUCUUAUACUGCACCGGGUGAUCGGUGGAGAUGAGCUGUAGGUGUGCCAGGGACCUGAAAGCAGUGUCAAUGCAGUGACUCGCACAACCCCUCCUCCACCCCAAUCUCCUCCAGUCCUGAGAAGAACAUUCAUCACCUCUUCCGGAUCCCGAUGACAACCGAUCACGGACUAAGGUGGCAGCUGACUGCCUGACAACAGACUGUUACUCGUGGCAUCCAUUGCACUUCUGUCCAUCCUGGAAGAGGGAUCCCUUGCAUGCGGCUCUUCCUGAGGUUUCUACGUUUUUUCCCUCAAGAAGGGUUUUUUCGUAGUUUUUCCUUACUCUUGUGAGGGUUAAGGACAGAGGACGUCACACUUAGGAAGUCCAAUAAGACAAUGCUCAUACAUGGACCACAAACGAUUGACCAAUGAACCACCACCAGUGUGUAGACCCCGGGGGGGUAUUCCUGUAAGACGUUCUGCUACACCCCCUUCUAAUCCUGAUGACAUCACACAGGGGUCUAAAAUGCCAAAGACUAUAAAUAUUAGCAUUCUCUGUGCACUGUAAAUAAUAGAUUUGUUAAAGUAAAAACCAAGUCUCUCCUGA